CCUACGGGUGGCAGCAGUGGGGAAUAUUGCACAAUGGGGGAAACCCUGAUGCAGCGACGCCGCGUGAGUGAAGAAGUAUUUCGGUAUGGAAAGCUCUAUCAGCAGGGAAGAAAAUGACGGUACCUGAUUAAGAAGCCCCGGCUAACGACGUGCCACCAGCCGCAGCAAUACGUAGGGGGCAGGAGUGAUCCGGAUUUACUGGGUGUAAAGGGAGAGUAGGCGGCAGAACAAGUCUGGAGUGAAAUGCCGGGGCUUAAACCCGGAACUGCUUUGGAAACUGUGCAGCUAGAGUGCAGGAGAGGUAAGUGGAAUUCCUAGUGUAGCGGUGAAAUGCGUAGAUAUUAGGAGGAACACCAGUGGCGAAGGCGGCUUACUGGACUGUAACUGACGUUGAGGCUCGAAAGCGUGGGGAGCAAACAGGAUUAGAUACCCGAGUAGUC
This 440-nucleotide ribosomal RNA is filed under the name uncultured bacterium. Its description in RNAcentral is "partial 16S ribosomal RNA". It matches the Rfam family "Bacterial small subunit ribosomal RNA", at positions 338 to 795 of the family's 1533-position model. The record is from RNAcentral.